RNAcentral lists this long non-coding RNA (420 nucleotides) under Cyanistes caeruleus (blue tit). Its description in RNAcentral is "lncRNA (ENSCCEG00000023582.1)". Lineage: Eukaryota; Metazoa; Chordata; Aves; Passeriformes; Paridae. The record is from RNAcentral.
CAUUUUUCACAGACAGGAUAAUCAAACUGGAAUAAAACCUAUUUUGUGAACUGAGUGAGAAUAUGCACAGGUGAAAAAUGCAGCUCUUACUCCAAGUCUCUGUGUGAACCCAAUCCAGAGGGAAUAUUUUGGGACCAUUUCCUGUGUUUUGGACAGAAUAGAAGCCCUGGUUAAAUGAAGAGAGAAAUGUAGCCACCCCUUCUGACCCAAGAGGAGGGAAAAAAAUUUUCUUCAGUUUUACAGCCUAGGAUAUUCGUAUGCCAAGUUUGCAGUCCUGAUCAAUGGGAGAGUCUUGCUCAUCUAUCAAGCUCCAGCUCUUUCCCUGACAAUGCCUCAGGCCCUGUUAUCUGCUGCUGCCUUUCUGCAGACUCACACCAUCACCUGGAACCUGCUGAGUGCCAUCAAGUGAAAGAACAGUGA